Molecule: long non-coding RNA, 1048 nt
Filed under: Monodelphis domestica (gray short-tailed opossum)
Lineage: Eukaryota; Metazoa; Chordata; Mammalia; Didelphimorphia; Didelphidae
Description: lncRNA (ENSMODG00000043578.1)
Source: RNAcentral
UAAAUCAAAUUACAUACCAAACCUGAAGCGGGGUUUGGCCUCCGCUGUGGACAGAAAAGGGCUGAAAGUGCGGAGAUGCAAUCCCACUUCCGCUAGGGAGCGCUCAAGUUUCGGUUCCACUCUCCGUCCACGUCUCCACUGCAGGAACUUUUCUGUGUCUUACUCUAGGAAUCCCGGAGGACCGAAUGCUCGAUGAUUGAUUCUUUAGGGGUGGGGCUUCCGGCUCAAUCUCUAUGCCACUUCCUCGCGGCAGUCUAGAAUGACCUUGGAAAGUCAGAGGGUUUGCUGAGGGCAAUUCUUUGGGCCAGGUUUCCGGUUAGUGACCAACGGCCUUUCCUUAACGGCCUUAUAUUCUAGUUUGGAAACAGAAAGAUUCUAUCUGAAACGGCGAAAACUUCCAAAAGAAAUUUCGGUGCCCGAAGAAAGGGCUGUGUCUCUCGGGAGGACCACUUUGCGGCGGGAGAGGAGAAGGAUAUUGAUAAGCUGGAGAGCGUCCAGAAGAGAGGAGACAGAAUAGUGAGAUCACUAGAGACCAUGUCCAAAAAGGAAUGGUUGAAGGAACUGGGAGUAAAUUGGGAGAAGACGAGUCUUAAGUCGAGUAAGGGUGAGAGAAGACAAGAUUCCCCAUGCCCAAGUUUUUGAAGAUUCUUUUGGAAAAAUGAAGAAUCUGCCUUUGAUUCCAGGUCAGACAUUUUCUGAAGAUGGAAUUGUUAUAAAUAUUCCUAAAUGGUGAUAAUUAUGGAGAAGUCUGUGGACCAUUAAAGAGAGCCAAGAAUCCAUGUAGGAAAGAGCCUAAAGAAAUUCCUUUCUCAAAAAAGUUUUAGAAAAAGAUUAUUUAUGUGAUAUAUAGGUUAAAAUUUUAAAUACUACUCAUAUCUUUUUUGGACAACAGAUAAUGCAUACUAGGGAGGAAUAAUAUGUCAUGAAUGUGGAAAAGGAUUUAGCUAAAUUUCAAACCUAAACAUCAGAAAAUCAAACAGGAGGGAAAUAAUUUAUGAGCAGUGAAUGUGAAUGAAACCUGUAGGUUUAAUUUACACAUAGGCAAAUU